Molecule: long non-coding RNA, 1102 nt
Organism: Oncorhynchus tshawytscha (Chinook salmon)
Lineage: Eukaryota; Metazoa; Chordata; Actinopteri; Salmoniformes; Salmonidae
Source: Ensembl
UAUUCAGCGUGGGUGUUCUGAGACAUGCCAGGCAUAUGCACCUAUAGCAAUUGAACUGUGUGUAAUUGGACAAUUAGUCCUAAGGGGAACCUGCAUUGUUUUGCCGCAUGCAAUUUAUGUGAGGGCUCUAGCCUUAGCUCACGAGGGACAUUUGGGCAUUGUAGGCAUAAAACAACAUCAGGAGUAAAGUAUGGUGGCCUGCCAUGGACAAGGCUGCAGAGAGACAUAUUGUAUGAAGACCAGAUGUGCCAGAUCCACAGUGCUACCUGGCAGGACGUCGCCACGGACCUAUUGGGUCCACUACCAACAGGACACUCAAUACAAGUAGUUGUAGACUAUUACGGCAGAUAUUAUGAAUAUGAUGUCAUACAAUCGACCAAUGCAGAAAAGGUGAUUGAUGGUCUGGAGAAGAUUUUCAGUCAUCAUGGUCUACCAUUAACGAUUCGAUCUGAUUGCGACCCACGGUACAUAUCAUCCCAGUUCCAGAACUUCUGACAGGAAAAUGGGGUAUAGCAUGUAAAAAAAAAUGACACAAAAUGGGCAUAGGCAAAUGGUGAAGUGGAGCGGCAAAAUGCUUCCCUCAUGAAACGGAUUCACAUUGCACAAGCUGAGGGGCUGGACUGAAAGCGGAAGCUACGCGAGUACAUCACAGUCUACAGGUCCAUUGAUCACCAUGAUGCUGAGCAGAAAGGGAAAUCCAAGAUCUAUGCAGAGACAGGCACUCUGACGUGGACAUUGGAGACCAGGUUCUCCUAAAAUGGGACAAAACGGACAAGUUCACAACCUUCAGCGAGAUACCUCACACUGUGAUCAAUAAAGAGGGAAACAACAUGGUUGUUCAAUCUCCAACCGGAGCCAGGUAUUCCAGGAAUACAACAUUCGUGAAGAGGUAUACAAUUGAGGAGCCAGAUCCACAACCAAAGGACACCACACAACUGAAAGAGACUGGAACAGAGUCCUACUCUGAGACAUUACAUGGUCUCUGGUUUGGACUCUGUCUGUGAGGGAUCACCCGAAAGACCACGGAGACCCAUGCCAGUCAGGCCUCACAGACAAAUUAAACUGCCACAUAAGUACAAAGGACUAAUGCGAAGACUCAUUG